Long non-coding RNA from Brassica oleracea var. oleracea, 402 nucleotides. RefSeq lists it as uncharacterized. The record is from RefSeq and is a predicted model, not a curated record. NCBI's taxonomy places the organism in Eukaryota, Viridiplantae, Streptophyta, Magnoliopsida, Brassicales, Brassicaceae. The transcript is spliced from 3 exons.
CCAUCAGGCUUGUCUAUGAGGUGCAGUAGCUGUUCGUGAAGACCUCAACAGAGGUUGAAUCCACCUUCCCUCGGUUGGAAGAAAGAGUGCUUGAACCUCACAAUGUAUCAGUAGACGAAGAUCUCAGGGAAGCAGCAAAGCAAGUCGAGGAACACAUGAGGGCGCAGAUAUAGUUUCAUCCUGAGCUGCUUGAACAAUUUGCUAUUGGUGGCAAAGAAGCUGAUGCUUUGGAAAAGUCUAAGAUUUCUUCAAGUGGAGGAUCAUCACUUCAUCAGUAUAGAAAUCUUCUGAUUACAAGGUAAAGCAAAGUGGUUUUGAUAAAUCUGCUAAAAAGAGAGGCGACGAUAAGCAAUAUUCCAUAUCCCACAAGAAGACAAGAGCCUGAUGUAGAGCUCAUGUGUA